UCUCCAAACAACUGUGAAUGUCAUUCUCGACAGGACCAUAUGUGAAGUGAAAAUUUCAGUGAAAAGAGAAUUGACAGUGCAGACAAACGUUAACGCGUGUGUCUUGUGUUUACAUAGGAAUAAAUUAUAUUUAAAAAUGACACUUUUGGGGACGCAACUAGAUAGUGAUAAAAGAUUAUUGCCAUUUAAAACUUAUGAAGAUUAUUUAGAUUCAUUGGUUACAUUUGUUGACCUUGGAUAUUUAGGAAAUUUACACACUGCUCGUGAAUUAGCAGAACUUGGAUAUCGUUGCACCGGUGAAACACUUAGCAAAGAUGUAUUUUAUCGGCGUUUGAAAACUUUAAGAGAUUUACUGUUUCCAGUUCAUAGACCAUAUGAACUAACAUCAGAGUUUAUAACACCAAGCAAUGCAGUAAUGCAAGAACUUGCACUUCGUGAACGUUCAAAUAGAUUAAAAGUCAUAUCCACUAUUAUUUUCAUGAGAAACUAUACAAAACUUCAAUUUGAAGUCUCUGGUUACAUUGACUUUUGUGAAAGACUUGAAAAAGAGAAUUGGAUUCCAUAUUUCCAAGGGAAGAAAAAACUAUGGCCUCAUCCAUCUGAUCUGGCAUAUUAUCAUUGGAGAACGAAUAAAACAUGCUUAAAUGAAACUUCAAACUAUCAGCCAUUCAUAGAUCCAAAACUGGGACUCAGAUUUAAAAACUGUCACGAUAGAGAAUUUAUUAACAUUGAUCCUGCAAAUCCUUCUCCAGGUAUGGAUACAACAAGAAUAAGAAUACAUUGUACAGAGUACGAACAUGUAAUAUUAUAUGACCAUAGAAUGCGAAGUAAAAGUUAUAUUUAAAUGAAAAAUGUAUACUUAAAUUUAUUUGUACUAUUGAAAAUAAAUUAGAUAAAGUGUAAUGUGAAUACUCACUUCACGAUUAAGGCGAUGAGGGUUUACUAAUUGUACAACACCAUUAGAUUUUAUUAGCAUAGCUAAAGAAUCUCCAACCCAGGCAACAUAUAAUUUUUUAUUUAAUAACAGUGUGCAAACUGCAGUAGUUCCACCGCAUACUUUCUAGAAUGCAUAUAAACGGUAUUAAGUGUUUAUCACUUGUUUAAGAAGUAUGCAGCUGCUUAUAAAUUCCUGAUACUUACUUGUGUUUUAGAUUUCUCUAUAAAUUGUGUAUCUGUAGUAAUAAAAGCAUCAUGUAAGGCACGCUCUGGAUCAGUAGGAUAGUGUCUGCUUUCUGCCAAAUACUGAUGAAGAUGUGUAGCACAAUAUACAGCUGCAUCUUGUCCGGCAUGUCCAUCAAAUACUGCAUAGUAAUUUGCUAUGGACUCAUCCUAUAAUUAAGAGAAAUAUUUACCUAAGAUAACAUUCAAUUUUUAUUUCUAUAUGGUAUAGCAAAAAAACCUUAAUACAUAUAGUUACCUCAAUACCAAAAGUAGCAUGUAAGUCAUGCAAGACUACAUAGCGAUCCUCCAUUUUUCUUCUACAAUUUCUAUUUCCACCUGCUAUUACUUGUGGCAGUGGUGUAGAAGGUGGAGGUGGUAGUAAUGCUAAUCUACUAUUGUCUAGGUAGCGAGUACAUAUUUCAUUAACUUUGCCAGUGAUGGCUUGCAUUAAUUUCAGUGAGGUAUAUGCUGUAAAAAAUUUAUAUUUAUUAUGAAAGAAUUUAUGAAACUAAGUGCAAAAAGGUAAAGUAACAUACUUUUUUCUUGUGCUUUGUAUCCACAAUCUUCUGGUUGUUUUUUACACAUGGAUUUGAUUUCUUGUAUUACUUGAUGAACCAAGUGUGCUUGCAAGCUUGGUGGACAUUGCCUACAAUAGAGUUAAAUUCCUCAAAUACAUAAAUAUGUUUCAAGGCUACAUGUAAAUUAAAAAUACUUUCUGUAUAUUAUUUAAAAUAUUAUUUAAAACAACAAACUUCAUGUUUUAAAAAUUACUGUGAAUAAAGGAAACAACAAAAUAACCAAGGCUGAAUACUCGACGACAAGAAGCAUUCGUAACAUCGAUACGACUAACGAAUUUUCAAUUUCUCUUUUCUAUAUUCAAAAUUCUAAUAAUAUAGGACGAUGGAUUUUUCAUUUCGAAAUUCUCUCAAUCAUCGCGCGUAAAAACUACCGCGUAAAAAAGAGGCUCGCAUGAAAAAAGUUCGCGUAAAUCGAGGGUCAGGUGUACUUCAAUAACGUAACGGUCACGAAAUUGUAUAGUAAAGGAAAAAAAGAAAGAACAUUCAGAACAAUAUAAUACAUAAAUUACAUACAAAUAAGACAACGAAAGAAAAAAACCGCUUUCCUAACGGUCUCCUCGAGGAAAUAAUAAUUCUAUGCAGUGUGCGCUAGUUUCCGAUAUUUAUAAGAUAG
Nomia melanderi (Alkali bee) is the source of this 2352-nucleotide non-coding RNA. NCBI's taxonomy places the organism in Eukaryota, Metazoa, Arthropoda, Insecta, Hymenoptera, Halictidae. The record is from RefSeq and is a predicted model, not a curated record.